CUCAUUUUUAAGUGUUUAUUUCUACAUUCUAAUAUUUGCAAUUACCUCACUGUUUUUCAGAUUCUUUUUAUUUAAGUGAGAAAUAGUUCAAAUUCUUCCUAAUAUUUGAUGAAGUGAGAAAUGUGAUUGUUAAAAAAGACAUUUUUAAAAAGCGUUCAAUUUGGUAUUCAUUUAUCAUAAUGCAGAAAGAGUUUUCUUUGCUUACAGCUUACAUAUUAUGGAUGCUUUUCAAAAAUGUAUUGUGCUCUUAUUGUCUCUUAUCAGCUUGUAUGAUAGAUUAUAAAGGUUGGUGAUUGUUGUUCCUCAGACUUCUAUAUGUUAAGCUGGCAGCAGUAAAAUGUUUUAAUGCCAUUACCUUUUAAAUAAUUGUAUUAUAUUAACAUACCACGUGUUUUCUGGGUAACUUUGAAAGAGCCAAACAAAAGUCUGUGAGAAAUAGGAAUUGAUAUUUUGUUAUUCGUGUAGUUUUUCCUCAUAAAAAUGGUUAUCCCAAAAUUAACACGUUAUCUCUUAGGGUUCACAAUAAAAGUACUCCUGCUUACUCAAAAACAGUAAAAAAAAAAAAAAAAAUGACACUUACCAACAGUUUUGUUCAUUGUCUCAAAAGAUCUUCAUAAAUGAUCAAAUUGUCUAGUUCUCAAGAGUGGAAAAUUGUUUUCAAUAGCAAGAAUUUUAAACCUUAGUUUAAAAGUCCAGAAUUGUCUCAUGUUAGAUUCAACAUCCUAUCGUUUCCCUUUCCCUGACUCUAGUCUUAUUAAGGAGGAAGUCUAAAGAAUGGGGACACAAAAGUCACUAUUUCUUCCUGCCUUGUGUUGGCUCCUCCUGUGUAGGUUCUUUCACUGUCCGCUCUGUACAGCACCAACCCCCACCCAGCUGCUCUGUGUCAUAUCUUCCUCGGUUCUGGCCACAAUUCCCCAAUAUUACAGACCCUGCCUGACAACACAGACAUUCUCCAUCCUGGGUGGAUGACCAGACAACAGCCCCCGUCAAAUUCUCCUGCUUCUCAGUCUACCAAGAUGAGGAUGAGGCCCCAUAUCUGCCUAGGGAAGCAAAUGCUAGUAUUGUCAUCAGUUUUGCCAAACCAUAUACAUUCCUGCCACCUCUCAUGAGCCUGGUUGACACAAGGGGACCAUGGAAAACACUUUUUUUUAAUGUUGUGGAGGAAUCAAACUCACAAAUACAGAAAUAUCAGUACCAUACUCUCACCAAGUGACAAGCUCACUGUCCCCUGCAGUAUUUUGAGACUGUCUUGUGUCUCCUUAAGUCCCAGGGAAGGAACAGCCUCACUGACCACCGUGUUGAAGGAAAACCCUUGUAUCAGCUGCAGAGCAGUGUUACAAGUAAAGGAGGAGAAAGCUAAUUGUUUUUAAGGGGGGAAAAUCCUUCUGAUGACAAUUCAUCAUUUUUAAAGUAAACUUGAGCAUAGAAUAUCUUAGCCGUGCAGCUGUUGGACUCCCUCCCCUUGGGAAAUGGUAAUCCUACGUUGUGUUAGUUAUAACCGCUUUGCUCUACUCUCUCAGAUCUAAGAAAACAAAAUGUUCAAGCAUCUAAAUGGGGAGUUGGCAGAUACUGAGAGAAACUGGGCCAUGCGUAGGGCAAAGAGUCUGGUUUUUGGAGUGAGAAACCAGGUACCCUUUACCUACUGGCAAAGGUGAUGGAGCGAGGAAGCAGUUGAGGUUCUCAUCAUCGAUACACUAAGGAAGCUGAGUGCAUAAAGUUUUGAUUUUUUACACUUCAUUGUAAGUCACUGUAGUUCAUUUCUUAAUGGCUAUUUUAGAGUAUAAUUUUUUUCAGAAUUAACAAAAUAGAUAUCUGCUCAUUCUCUUUCUACAUGUUUGUAAAGCCCACCUGGUUAGUAUACCCUGGACUAGGACACAGUUAGGGCUAGAACACAGAUCGGUCUUGAAGCUCCUCUCCAGUUCACAACUCGUGUCCUGAUGUCAUUCUUUGGUUUUAUUUAGUUUCUUUCUUUAACUCAACACAUUGGAAACCAUGAGACUAAAACAAUUUCCUUUCCCUUUCUUAAGUUUAGAGGGGAUUGUUUUUAAUCUUUAGCUUCCCCGCUUAGGUAGUGAAAACUUUUUGAAUGACAGCAGUGACCUUCCCUAGGUAAAGCCACUAAAACUGAAAGCCAAAUUCCAUUCCUUUGACAAAUAUCCAUGUAUUUUCUAGGUGAAACCAGUAAAUGAACCUCACAUGAUGUUCACUACCCAUCCUUAAGCUUGGUGACUGGCCGGCUUUUUAAAAUUUUAUUUUUGGAAUACAGGCAUCUCAUAUUUUUUCUGAAGCCACACUAGCCUAAUUCCUAUUGCUUCCCCACAUUAGCCUACCCAUGUCCCAGCAAGUGGCAGUGCCUCCAGCGCUGCCUGUUUUGUGGGCAAAAGUCAUGUGAAAAAUACCCGGAAAGAUGGGUUUUAGGUUUAAGUUCACAAUCAUUUGGGAACAUUCUACACCAUUAGGUUCUGACACUCUUUAAAAAAAUUUUUUUAGUACUGACUACAUAUUUUACUGGGGGAGGAACUGAAAGGAAAAUUUGAGCCAAGUGAUGUGGUUGACUCCCUGCCCUAUGUUUGUUUGUCUCCCCAGAAAAUAGAUUAGCCCAUGUCUACCACUCAAGAGUCUUCUGAGAGUAAACAGUGAAUGUGUAUAAAUGAGAAAAAUUAUCUCAAAGAUCUAAUUUUUGGUUUAGAUAUUUUCUUCUUUUUAAACUCAGGAAUAAACCUGGUUUGUGGGUAGCAUAAUAUAGCUGUUAAAACUAAUUUGUAGGUGACUAGAGGGUCCUUUUAAAUAUAAUUUUUCUAAAGACUUCUAACUUUGUUUCAACUCGGAAGAGAAACCCUUUGAAUUAAGAAAAACAAAACAAAACAACUUCCACAAGCUCCUUCUAGGAGAGAGUAACAUCAGUCUACCAUCUUUCCCAAAGUGUUUAUUUCUUGCCUGUUGUAUCUCAGUUUUUAUGAGUGAAAAACAAGGUGCAUGUUUUUUAUUUCUUGGAAAAGUGAAUUGAGGUGUUGCAUUAAAUUUUCAAAUGAGACAACUUAAUCAAAAGAAAAGCAUUGGUUUUGGAGACAAGAACACAGGGCUGUGGUUCCUGUUCCAACCCUGACUUUACUGUGUGACCCCAAGCAAAUUAUUUAACUUCUCUGUGCCUCAAUUUCUCCAUAUAUAAAUGUGGGGAUGAUACCAACCAUUGCCUACCUCAUAGGGACAUUUGGGGGACAAAUGAGAUAAUAUAGAUAAGUAUGAAUGCUUUCACCUCUUUGGAAGAAAGGUGCUAUAUAAUUGAAGUUGUCUUGUUUCAAUGAUCCAAUUGUUAAUUAUGUUUAGGGUUUAGAUAAUAGCAAUAUUGUUAGUUAUGUUAAGAGUACCUUUCGAUUUAAUGCAUAUUUCCAGUUCUCUUCUGUGGCCACAUCUUGAUCAUCUAGUAAUGGUACCUAAGGAACUGAAAUGAGUAUUUGUUUUCUAUGUUUCUCCUGGUAGUAUUUCAAUUAUGAAUAUUCAGAAAAGCCUGGAGUUUAACUUGUAAUAUCUUAUAGUUUACAUGUAAUGAACCUUAUUCAAGCUGUAUAUAAAAAGUAUAAUUAUAGGUAAAGUAUAAUUACAAGUAAAUAGCAGGUACAUUGUAAUUAAAGGCACUUUUCACAUUGUCUUUGUUCUUUUUUAAUUGUAAUAAAGGUCGG
This 3680-nucleotide long non-coding RNA is filed under the name Heterocephalus glaber (naked mole-rat). Its description in RNAcentral is "lncRNA (ENSHGLG00000041311.1)". Lineage: Eukaryota; Metazoa; Chordata; Mammalia; Rodentia; Bathyergidae. The record is from RNAcentral.